This 214-nucleotide ribosomal RNA is filed under the name Rhizobium sp. RNAcentral's name for it is "partial 23S ribosomal RNA". It matches the Rfam family "Bacterial large subunit ribosomal RNA", at positions 1 to 163 of the family's 2925-position model. Lineage: Bacteria; Pseudomonadati; Pseudomonadota; Alphaproteobacteria; Hyphomicrobiales; Rhizobiaceae. The record is from RNAcentral.
GAUUAAGUGUCGUAAGGGCAUUUGGUGGAUGCCUUGGCAUGCACAGGCGAUGAAGGACGUGAUACGCUGCGAAAAGCCGUGGGGAGCUGCGAAUGAGCUUUGAUCCAUGGAUCUCCGAAUGGGGCAACCCACCUUAAAUGCUUGGAAAAUUUAAGACGAUCUUCUGAUCGUCUUAUCUUUCCAAGCAUUGUGAUAAGGUAUCUUACUUUCGAAU